Long non-coding RNA from Maniola jurtina (meadow brown), 198 nucleotides. RefSeq lists it as uncharacterized. NCBI's taxonomy places the organism in Eukaryota, Metazoa, Arthropoda, Insecta, Lepidoptera, Nymphalidae. The record is from RefSeq and is a predicted model, not a curated record. The transcript is spliced from 3 exons.
UAUAAUAUUAUAAAUGCGAAAGUGUUUCUGUCUGUCUGCUAAGUUUUCACUGCCCAUCCGGUCAUACUAUUUUGAUAAAAUCGGUACAGAGAUAGCUUGCAUCCCGGGAAAGGACAUAGGCUACUUUUAUCCCUGAAAAACAAAACAGUUUCCACGGGAUUUUAAAACCUAAAUCCACGAGGGUGAAAUUGCGGGAAU